GAUGAAGAACGUAGCGAAAUGCGAUAAGUAAUGUGAAUUGCAGAAUUCAGUGAAUCAUCGAAUCUUUGAACGCAUCUUGCGCUCCUUGGUAUUCCGAGGAGCAUGCCUGUUUGAGUGUCAUUGCUGCCCUCAAGCACGGCUUGUGUGUUGGGCCUCCGUCCUCCUCCCGGGGGACGGGCCCGAAAGGCAGCGGCGGCACCGCGUCCGGUCCUCGAGCGUAUGGGGCUUCGUCACCCGCUCUUGUAGGCCCGGCCGGCGCUUGCCGACACAUCAAUCUUUUUUCCAGGUUGACCUCGGAUCAGGUAGGGAUACCCGCUGAACUUAAGCAUAUCAAUAAGCGGAGGA
RNAcentral lists this unclassified non-coding RNA (345 nucleotides) under soil metagenome. Its description in RNAcentral is "partial contains 5.8S ribosomal RNA, internal transcribed spacer 2, and large subunit ribosomal RNA". The stretch from base 1 to 120 matches the Rfam family "5.8S ribosomal RNA", at positions 35 to 154 of the family's 154-position model. The record is from RNAcentral.